UGUGAAUGAUGACAAGCUUUUCCCCGACCUCAAUGUGGGGGUAUAAAAUGAUUUAAUGAGCCUGAUGC
Molecule: small nucleolar RNA, 68 nt
Organism: Cottoperca gobio
Lineage: Eukaryota; Metazoa; Chordata; Actinopteri; Perciformes; Bovichtidae
Source: Ensembl